Molecule: microRNA precursor, 203 nt
Organism: Oryza sativa Japonica Group (Japanese rice)
Lineage: Eukaryota; Viridiplantae; Streptophyta; Magnoliopsida; Poales; Poaceae
Rfam family: MIR812 microRNA precursor family
Source: Rfam
AAAAAGACAAACCCUAGGUUUCCGUGUCAAUGUUUGACUAUCCGUCUUAUAUGAAAUUUUUUUAUAAUUAGUAUUCUCAUUGUUGUUAGAUGAUAAAACAUGAUUAAUACUUUAUGUGUGACUUAUCUUUUUAAUUUUUUUAUAGUUUUUUUAAUAAGACGGACGGUCAAACGUUGGACACGGAAACCAGGGUUUGUCUUUUU